This 591-nucleotide ribosomal RNA is filed under the name uncultured bacterium. RNAcentral describes it as "bacterial SSU rRNA". It matches the Rfam family "Bacterial small subunit ribosomal RNA", at positions 331 to 932 of the family's 1533-position model. The record is from RNAcentral.
CCAGACUCCUACGGGAGGCAGCAGUGGGGAAUAUUGCACAAUGGGCGGAAGCCUGAUGCAGCAACGCCGCGUGCGGGAUGACGGCCUUCGGGUUGUAAACCGCUUUCGCCUGUGACGAAGCGUGAGUGACGGUAAUGGGUAAAGAAGCACCGGCUAACUACGUGCCAGCAGCCGCGGUGAUACGUAGGGUGCGAGCGUUGUCCGGAUUUAUUGGGCGUAAAGGGCUCGUAGGUGGUUGAUCGCGUCGGAAGUGUAAUCUUGGGGCUUAACCCUGAGCGUGCUUUCGAUACGGGUUGACUUGAGGAAGGUAGGGGAGAAUGGAAUUCCUGGUGGAGCGGUGGAAUGCGCAGAUAUCAGGAGGAACACCAGUGGCGAAGGCGGUUCUCUGGGCCUUUCCUGACGCUGAGGAGCGAAAGCGUGGGGAGCGAACAGGCUUAGAUACCCUGGUAGUCCACGCUGUAAACGGUGGGUACUAGGUGUGGGGUCCAUUCCACGGGUUCCGUGCCGUAGCUAACGCUUUAAGUACCCCGCCUGGGGAGUACGGCCGCAAGGCUAAAACUCAAAGGAAUUGACGGGGGCCCGCACAAGAGG